ACCUCCAUCAGGACUUCUGAAUCUCCUUCAGUUUCUCCUCUUUGCUGUCAGAAAUGUUUCCCUUCAGAAUAAAAGCCCGUGAAGUGGGGUUUGUGUCUGAAACGUUUAGCCGAGCUCCAGUCCUCCAGAGGCUUCGUUAGCGUGACCUGAACAUGUAAACAAACAUCUCAACCAGAAGUAAACGAGGUUUAGAUGAAGAGGAUUCUGGCCCGUUUUGGCUCCAGGGAGGUUCUGUGCAGACGGGUCAGAUCGGGUCAGAUCGGAGCUGCACGCCCUGCAGCGCUGGCGGCCCGGCAGAAUUGCUGCCCUGUUUUCAUUCCAGCGCUCCGGAGGAACUGCUUUCGCUCCGAGGAGAAAUCCAUAUUUCCUGAAUCCCAAUCAGGAAGCUGGGAGUUCCUGCUGCUGUUUUCACUCCAGAAGAAAACAAGUUGAGGUACAAACUGUUUCUGGACCAGAACAUGUGCAGCUCCAGUUCUUCUGUGCAGGAACAUGGAGUGAUUUACACUCCGAUUUCAGCCACAUUAAAAGCUCCUCAAACGCAAACAUCAGGAGCUUCAGCAGCAAAAACAAACAGCCGGCCGGAUGGGAACCGAGCCCGCUCCGCAUUCUUCCACCGAUGGAUUUUUCAUUUGUUCUGAGGGUUCUGCUUCUGCAUUUAAUAAAUAUAAAUUAGCCUGAGGAGGGAACAAAUCCUGAGAUACUGAGAGUCAUGAGGAGAGAGGCGAUGGAUGAGGAGCAGGACAGAUUCAGUGAGUUCUGGCCGCAUGCGGUUGACUGACUGCAUCAGGAGGAGGAGGAAGACGAGGAGGAAGGAGGCAUGGCAUUAAGACCAAACCGCUCCGGAUGGCUGAGAGCAGAAACUGGAUCGGUCUCCUGACCACACGUCUGGUUGUGCAUUAAUGUGUUUGAGAAAGCAGGAGUCAGGAGCAGUUUAAACCGACAACGUUGGGUUAUGUAGACACAGUGGAGGUCUGCAGCCCCGAGCCGUCCAGCAGGCAGGACGUCAUUUAUCCUGAGGUUUACUUUGUAAACCAUCAGAUCCAUCUCUGCAAAACUUUCCAACACACAGUGAGGUCCCGGCACCGAAGCCUGAACCAGGCCGGGCCGUUUCCUACCUGAGACUUCCAAACACGCUCUGUCAUCAGUUUGGAUGCAGAUACACAGCAGGUUUGAGUCCCAGAGGCGUCACCAGGUCUCCUCCACCCAAACCUGGACCAGAGCCAGCGCUCAUUUGGCCGCCCGGCCGCAGACCCCGGGCGCAGUUCCCCGACCCAAUCAGAACCGUCACAGCCUGUCGUCCAGACCCACAAUUAGAUUUGAGCUCCAGACCCGAGUAACACGCCAGCGCAGACUGAAUCUGUUAACAAGAUGCCUACACUGCAGCUUCCAGCCUUACCAGGGGCACAGAGAGCCCAACACGACCCCUGACUGGGGAUCCAUUACUGUAACUCUGCAGCAGCGUUUCCCCAAAGCCAGAGGCUCUCCACAGUCGGGUCGCUGCCUCGCUGUGAUCCCUCAAUUCCCAGAAUUCCCACCCGCAUCGCCCCCGCCUGCAGAGCAAGAAUGGAUGGAUGGAUCCUCUCCAUAAAUAACCAGCAGAGCGGAGCCAAACCCCCACCGUGUUUUUCCCCUCCACGCUUUGUUUCAGAGCCCGGACAGAGAGCGGCCGCGUCCAAACCUGCUGGAUCCACCGAGCGGGACCGCAAAUCCUUGGCACACACUGGGAUAAAGAAAAAACAGGAGCGUGGAGUUUGGGUAAAUAGAGGCUAACAACACGCAGAGCGACGGGGAGCGACAGGGAGCAACGGGGAGCGACAGAGCCGCCAUCUGGGGCAACCCGAAAGAUUUAUAAACAAAACUAAAGCUAAACUUCAUAAUGCAGAAAAAACUCUGCUGGACGAUCUGGAAAUAAAACCGAACCAAGACUCGAUGUGAAGCCGCCACGCAGCUCGAUGUUACUCAGCUGGAAUAUUCACCUUUCCCAACCACUGGAUAGGAAAAUCUGGACGAUCUGGAUCCAGAGGGGCUCCAGACGGAUUGACCCCUCCACCAUCAGGGCUCAUUAAGUUCUGACGGUGGCAGUCAUAUUUCAGCCACCUGAAAGCCUCCUUGUGCAGCUCAAGGCUCGGCUUUAUUCGGCCCCAGUGAUACCAGUGACCCGGAGGCUGUGGAGAACAAGGCCGUAAAAGUCUAGAUUGUGCUGCACAGGCUCACAGUGAAUGAACUGGGUGCCAAGGCCGUUUUUAAAAGCUCCCAGUUCAAUGUGGGCUGUGUCUCAGGGCCCGGCCGCUCGUUGCCGGGACCACCUUCCCCCUGUGAGCCACCGGCCUCCAGACGGCUCCGGCGUCGGGCCGCGGAGCCAACCGUUCAUCAUUCUGUCACCGGCUGCUGCAGGAUAAUGCCUCAGUGUCGGCAGCGCUUUUAAAAUUCCAGCCACACGCCGAUCCCUGCGAACAGAUCCGCUCUGAGACACUGAAAGAUUCCUGGCAGAAACCGAUCCACCACUUAUCGUAGAGGAUUUCUGCUGCUUUCAGGAGCGUUAGCAACAAAAAACUGGAGCGAUUUCAUCGAGCGUUAGCAACGAAAAACUGGAGCGUUUUCAUCGAGCGUUAGCAACUAAAAACUGGAGCGUUUUUAUUGAGCGUUAGCAACUAAAAACUGGAGCGUUUUUAUUGAGCGUUAGCAAUGAAAAACUGGAGCGAUUUCAUUGAGCGUUAGCAACUAAAAACUGGAGCGUUUUUAUUGAGCGUUAGCAACAAAAAACUGGAGCGUUUUCAUCGAGCGUUAGCAACAAAAAACUGGAGCGUUUUUAUUGAGCGUUAGCAACAAAAAACUGGAGCGAUUUCAUCGAGCGUUAGCAACUAAAAACUGGAGCGUUUUCAUCGAGCGUUAGCAACAAAAAACUGGAGCGUUUUCAUCGAGCGUUAGCAACAAAAAACUGGAGCGUUUUUAUUGAGCGUUAGCAACAAAAAACUGGAGCGAUUUCAUCGAGCGUUAGCAACUAAAAACUGGAGCGUUUUUAUUGAGCGUUAGCAACAAAAAACUGGAGCGAUUUCAUCGAGCGUUAGCAACUAAAAACUGGAGCGUUUUUAUUGAGCGUUAGCAACAAAAAACUGGAGCGAUUUCAUCGAGCGUUAGCAACUAAAAACUGGAGCGUUCAGACCCGAAUGCUUUACACAAACCGUUAAAAACACUCAUGAAAAACGGCUUUUAAACAUUUUAGUGUUGAAAUCUAGACAGAUUUUAUUAUGUUAAAAUAGACAACUAGCAACAUAAAACAUAUUAUUCUUUAGCUUCUGUUGUUUUGCUCAAUACCAGUGAAUAAUUUAUUCAUAAGGCGCUCGGAUGAAUAAUUCAUCAAAUCUAAUCUCAGGUGAAAAAAAACACUCAACAGAUUAAACUCUGAUUCAUUAUAACAAAAGGUUCUGGAAUAAUGGAAACGCUGAGUGGAAAACUAAGUACACCCUUUCUGCUCUGGAGCCACAGGUGUACUAACUUAACGCCUAGAGAGGAACAGCAUUUCCAAGAUGAUAAUAACACUAAUAAUAAAUUAAAAUAAAUGAAAGUAACAUUUUUAAAAUAA
Long non-coding RNA from Xiphophorus couchianus (Monterrey platyfish), 3583 nucleotides. RefSeq lists it as uncharacterized. Lineage: Eukaryota; Metazoa; Chordata; Actinopteri; Cyprinodontiformes; Poeciliidae. The record is from RefSeq and is a predicted model, not a curated record. The transcript has 5 exons.